GACGAACGCUGGCGGCGUGCUUAACACAUGCAAGUCGAACGGAAAGGCCCUGCUUUUGUGGGGUGCUCGAGUGGCGAACGGGUGAGUAACACGUGAGUAACCUGCCCUUGACUUUGGGAUAACUUCAGGAAACUUGGGCUAAUACCGGAUAGGAUCUCCUGCUGCAUGGUGGGGGUUGGAAAGUUUCGGCGUUUGGGGAUGGACUCGCGGCUUAUCAGCUUGUUGGUGGGGUAGUGGCUUACCAAGGCUUUGACGGGUAGCCGGCCUGAGAGGGUGACCGGCCAAAUUGGGACUGAGAUACGGCCCAGACUCCUACGGGAGGCAGCAGUGGGGAAUAUUGCACAAUGGGCGGAAGCCUGAUGAAGCAGCGCCGCGUGCGGGAUGAAGGCCUUCGGGUUGUAAACCGCUUUCGCCUGUGACGAAGCGCGAGUGACGGUAAUGGGUAAAGAAGCACCGGCUAACUACGUG
Molecule: ribosomal RNA, 468 nt
Filed under: uncultured bacterium
Lineage: Bacteria
Description: partial 16S ribosomal RNA
Rfam family: Bacterial small subunit ribosomal RNA
Source: RNAcentral